AGAGAGAUAAGUUGAUAUAUUAAGAUUACUAUAUUAUUAUAACAUUAUAGAGACGCUAAUUCAUAUUGUUGAAAGUAAAUAAAAUAUAUAAAAGGUAUAAGGUUUCAUGCUAUUUGUGUUACGGUAGCGUUAAUAUAAUUUGAACCCGAAGCCUAAAGGUUGAAAAUAUACCUAAUUGGAAAAUAUAUUUGACGCAUAAAUAACGCACCAUAACACUUACUAUUGCUACUUUUGAAAAUUUCAAGGUUGUUUAAAACAAGAAUGAGUGCUUUUAAAAGUUUUACUUAGCCGGUAAUGUUUGCUUUGCAUGGUCGAAUAGAAAAUUAUAAUUUUGUCUUCUACCGUCAC
Non-coding RNA from Paramuricea clavata, 348 nucleotides. Lineage: Eukaryota; Metazoa; Cnidaria; Anthozoa; Malacalcyonacea; Plexauridae. The record is from the annotation of a GenBank genome assembly.